Molecule: ribosomal RNA, 250 nt
Filed under: uncultured Dermabacter sp.
Lineage: Bacteria; Bacillati; Actinomycetota; Actinomycetes; Micrococcales; Dermabacteraceae
Description: partial 16S ribosomal RNA
Rfam family: Bacterial small subunit ribosomal RNA
Source: RNAcentral
GUGGAUUAGUGGCGAACGGGUGAGUAACACGUGAGUAACCUGCCCCCCACUUUGGGAUAACUCCGAGAAAUCGGGGCUAAUACUGGAUACGACUAUGGCCCGCAUGGGUUGUGGUGGAAAGUUUUUCGGUGGGGGAUGGGCUCGCGGCCUAUCAGUUUGUUGGUGAGGUAGUGGCUCACCAAGGCGAUGACGGGUAGCCGGCCUGAGAGGGCGACCGGCCACACUGGGACUGAGACACGGCCCAGACUCC